CGCGAACCCAGCACAGACCCAUACUUUCUUCCACCGAGCCUUUCAUCCCGUUUCUCCGACUUCUCACAUUUCUCUUUCGCUCUGCCUCACUGGCGGCUUGAAAGUUGUCCUGCCUUUUAUUUUCAGCAGUAUUAAUUUGGUGGAGUUUGCCAGCUCGGCAGUGGCGUGCUCUUCUCACUUGACGUUUUGCUGAAGUUUGUAUGCCACUUGAGCUCUCCGUCUCCCGCGCUAAUGAUAGCGGCGCGGGCUCUCAGGGGAGCGCGCGCGGGCCGCCUCGCACGGAUCCCGCGCUGGAUAUUUUGGGAGCCUGUGAGGCACAUCAUUGCCUGCUCAUCCUCUUUCUCUCUCCCUCUCUUUUUUGUUGUUGUUGUAUGUCUGUGCACGCGUACAUUCUUCGCUUUUUUCUGCUCAGACGUAUUUUUGAUUUCUGAGGGAAUGAUGAGAAGGGGGGAAAAGAAGAAGAGGAAGAAAAAAGCUGUUUUCAAGGCUAUUGCUGGGUUCAACUUCACAGAAAAAGCUUUGCCCGUAGAGGUCAAGCUCAUAUUGACAAACUUCUGGAGAGGAGAAAAAUGGACUGAAAAAAGAAGAGCACAGCGACAGACACUGAGAGACAAUUAUAAUAUUAGCAGCGCAGUGAGUGUGGAAUCAGAGAGAGAGAGAGAUUACACCUGACGGCUCCUGUGUUGCUCCUGUAGCUCUGUGAAAAUGAUCACACCCCUCUUACAAACGUGGAGGAGGACUUUUGUCACCGCAGUUA
RNAcentral lists this long non-coding RNA (757 nucleotides) under Danio rerio (zebrafish). RNAcentral describes it as "lncRNA si:dkey-41e15.4 (ENSDARG00000096796.2)". The record is from RNAcentral. Lineage: Eukaryota; Metazoa; Chordata; Actinopteri; Cypriniformes; Danionidae.